AUAUGGUUCUGACAAUUUCUGACAAUUCCCAAAAACUUCAACGUACACUGCAAGGUAAGGGUCCACUCUUCAAAAGCAUCCCACGUUUUAAUCCAAAACAAUGAAAAAUAGUGAGAAAUCCAGCAAUAUCCUCCUUUGUUUACAUCCGCGCAUCCGCUAAGUAUGAUCGAUCAUGUUUAUUUUCUAUCAAAUAUCGAUUUUUAUCAGUGAAAAUCCAUCUCUUCCUGCUUCGUUAGACUGUUCAGAUAAAUAUCCCGCCCUAUUUUUCUGUUUUGUCCAAUCAGAAAAGGUUUGACAACUCAAAAUCUCAUGCGAUCAAUGAUUUGCCUAGAUAGAUGUCCUUCAGCUCACCAUAGGCUUUUGACUGGAUUACACCAAAACAAAGCCAGCCAAUGCAUAGUGAGCAAAGCUUUGAUUGACAGAGGAAGUAACCAAUCAUGAAACGAUUACAAGGAUUCAACUUACGUCAGUAAAGUGUACUUCUGCGCAAAUCUACAGAAGCGCAUGGAGAGAAAUGCCCAUGCCCCCUCCGUGCGCGUUUGUUUGUUUGGGUAGCAUAGCAGCCGGCUAAGCUCUCCGGAGCCGCUGAGAAACCUCUUCAAAUGUUAGAUAUAACAUCUCCAUUGUGGAUCGUGGACUACAGAUUACUUUUUGUGUUGAAAGUGUUUUGGAGAAGUUGAUAAAAAGCAUGAUCGCGGAUGAACAAUGCAAGACUGGAUGUAAACAAAGCGCGUCGUCGAGGAGAGAUGGACCGGAUUAUGAGCUCAGCUGCGCUCGCUUGGAUAAAGACUUCAGCUGACACAGGAGGACUGGAAUCUGGAGUGCAUUCAUGAGCGACCAUAUUCAAAAUAGCAAGUAUUUUGUUAUAAUGUGCAAAUGUUUUUUUCUGAAAUAGUUUUAUCUAUGUGCUUUGGUGGGCAGAGAAGUUCUGAAUUGAUAUACAUAAUGUAAUAUGUAGUCCUGACUCAUUUUCUUUUUAUAAUCAUGUCAUAUUGUUAUCAUGUGUAUAUUUGGAGUUUCCAAGUGCACUUUUUCUGAAAGGACGCCUGGACUUUUUUGAAAUAAAAGCUCACAGAAACAACAUUUUUUGGAGUAUCAUUCUCAAAUUUGAAUCACAGCAUGGUCAGACAUUCAGUUCACCUAUAUGGUGUCCCCAGGUGUCUCACAUGACCAUUUCAUACCUUUUUUGCUAAGUGAAUGUUAUUUAAAGAAAAACGGAAGUCAUUUAAUGUAUAUUUUACCUUGUUUUACUCUGUUUCUUUACUACUCUGAGUUGUUAUGACUAUUAGGCAACAAUAUGUCAAGUGUCUAGUUUCAAACAAGACCAGAAUUAUGAAUAUAGACCAUAGGGUUUAAGAGCUGCAGA
Misgurnus anguillicaudatus (oriental weatherfish) is the source of this 1366-nucleotide non-coding RNA. The record is from RefSeq and is a predicted model, not a curated record. NCBI's taxonomy places the organism in Eukaryota, Metazoa, Chordata, Actinopteri, Cypriniformes, Cobitidae.